RNAcentral lists this ribosomal RNA (1485 nucleotides) under uncultured bacterium. Its description in RNAcentral is "bacterial SSU rRNA". It matches the Rfam family "Bacterial small subunit ribosomal RNA". The record is from RNAcentral.
GAGUUUGAUCCUGGCUCAGGAUGAACGCUAGCGGCAGGCUUAAUACAUGCAAGUUGAACGGCAGCGGGUUGUAGCAAUACAAUGCCGGCGAGUGGCGCACGGGUGCGUAACACGUAUGCAACCUACCCUAUACUGGGGCAUAACCUUUAGAAAUGAGGGCUAAUACUCCAUGUAAUUAUGAGAAGGCAUCUUUUUAUAAUUAAAGAUUUAUCGGUAUAGGAUGGGCAUGCGUCCCAUUAGUUAGUUGGUAAGGUAACGGCUUACCAAGACAAUGAUGGGUAGGGGUCCUGAGAGGGUUCACCCCCACACUGGUACUGAGACACGGACCAGACUCCUACGGGAGGCAGCAGUAAGGAAUAUUGGGCAAUGGCCGCGAGGCUGACCCAGCCAUGCCGCGUGCAGGAAGACGGCCUUAUGGGUUGUAAACUGCUUUUAUACGGGAAUAAUAGAGUGUACGCGUACAUUUAUGCAAGUAUCGUAUGAAUAAGCAUCGGCUAACUCCGUGCCAGCAGCCGCGGUAAUACGGAGGAUGCGAGCGUUAUCCGGAUUUAUUGGGUUUAAAGGGUGCGCAGGCGGAUUUAUAAGUCAGUGGUGAAACACUCCGGCUCAACUGGGGGACUGCCAUUGAUACUGUAGGUCUUGAGUUAAGAGGGCGUUGGCGGAAUGUGUCAUGUAGCGGUGAAAUGCAUAGAUAUGACACAGAACACCGAUAGCGAAGGCAGCUGACGAUACUUUAACUGACGCUCAUGCACGAGAGCGUGGGGAUCAAACAGGAUUAGAUACCCUGGUAGUCCACGCUGUAAACGAUGAUCACUAGCUGUAGGCGAUACACUGUCUGUGGUUAAGCGAAAGCGAUAAGUGAUCCACCUGGGGAGUACGUCGGCAACGAUGAAACUCAAAGGAAUUGACGGGGGCCCGCACAAGCGGAGGAGCAUGUGGUUUAAUUCGAUGAUACGCGAGGAACCUUACCUGGGCUUGAACGUAUGGUGCAUUAUGGAGAAAUUCAUAUUUCUAGCAAUAGACUUCAUACGAGGUGCUGCAUGGCUGUCGUCAGCUCGUGCCGUGAGGUGUUAGGUUAAGUCCUGCAACGAGCGCAACCCCUGUUUUUAGUUGCCAGCAUGUAAUGAUGGGGACUCUAGAGAGACUGCCUGCGCAAGCAGCGAGGAAGGUGGGGAUGACGUCAAGUCAGCACGGCCCUUACGCCCAGGGCUACACACGUGCUACAAUGGCCGGUACAGAGGGCAGCGACCAUGUGAAUGGGAGCGAAUCUUCAAAGCCGGUCUCAGUUCGGAUCGGAGUCUGCAACUCGACUCCGUGAAGUUGGAUUCGCUAGUAAUCGCGCAUCAGCCAUGGCGCGGUGAAUACGUUCCCAGGCCUUGUACACACCGCCCGUCAAGCCAUGGGAGUUAGGGGUGCCUGAAGUCGAUGACCGUCAAAGGAGUCGCCUAGGGUAAACCUGAUGACUGGGGCUAAGUCGUAACAAGG